This 1509-nucleotide ribosomal RNA is filed under the name Helicobacter pylori. Its description in RNAcentral is "bacterial SSU rRNA". It matches the Rfam family "Bacterial small subunit ribosomal RNA". The record is from RNAcentral. Lineage: Bacteria; Pseudomonadati; Campylobacterota; Epsilonproteobacteria; Campylobacterales; Helicobacteraceae.
UUUUAUGGAGAGUUUGAUCCUGGCUCAGAGUGAACGCUGGCGGCGUGCCUAAUACAUGCAAGUCGAACGAUGAAGCUUCUAGCUUGCUAGAAGUGGAUUAGUGGCGCACGGGUGAGUAACGCAUAGGUCAUGUGCCUCUUAGUUUGGGAUAGCCAUUGGAAACGAUGAUUAAUACCAGAUACUCCCUACGGGGGAAAGAUUUAUCGCUAAGAGAUCAGCCUAUGUCCUAUCAGCUUGUUGGUAAGGUAAUGGCUUACCAAGGCUAUGACGGGUAUCCGGCCUGAGAGGGUGAACGGACACACUGGAACUGAGACACGGUCCAGACUCCUACGGGAGGCAGCAGUAGGGAAUAUUGCUCAAUGGGGGAAACCCUGAAGCAGCAACGCCGCGUGGAGGAUGAAGGUUUUAGGAUUGUAAACUCCUUUUGUUAGAGAAGAUAAUGACGGUAUCUAACGAAUAAGCACCGGCUAACUCCGUGCCAGCAGCCGCGGUAAUACGGAGGGUGCAAGCGUUACUCGGAAUCACUGGGCGUAAAGAGCGCGUAGGCGGGAUAGUCAGUCAGGUGUGAAAUCCUAUGGCUUAACCAUAGAACUGCAUUUGAAACUACUAUUCUAGAGUGUGGGAGAGGUAGGUGGAAUUCUUGGUGUAGGGGUAAAAUCCGUAGAGAUCAAGAGGAAUACUCAUUGCGAAGGCGACCUGCUGGAACAUUACUGACGCUGAUUGCGCGAAAGCGUGGGGAGCAAACAGGAUUAGAUACCCUGGUAGUCCACGCCCUAAACGAUGGAUGCUAGUUGUUGGAGGGCUUAGUCUCUCCAGUAAUGCAGCUAACGCAUUAAGCAUCCCGCCUGGGGAGUACGGUCGCAAGAUUAAAACUCAAAGGAAUAGACGGGGACCCGCACAAGCGGUGGAGCAUGUGGUUUAAUUCGAAGAUACACGAAGAACCUUACCUAGGCUUGACAUUGAGAGAAUCCGCUAGAAAUAGUGGAGUGUCUGGCUUGCCAGACCUUGAAAACAGGUGCUGCACGGCUGUCGUCAGCUCGUGUCGUGAGAUGUUGGGUUAAGUCCCGCAACGAGCGCAACCCCCUUUCUUAGUUGCUAACAGGUCAUGCUGAGAACUCUAAGGAUACUGCCUCCGUAAGGAGGAGGAAGGUGGGGACGACGUCAAGUCAUCAUGGCCCUUACGCCUAGGGCUACACACGUGCUACAAUGGGGUGCACAAAGAGAAGCAAUACUGCGAAGUGGAGCCAAUCUUCAAAACACCUCUCAGUUCGGAUUGUAGGCUGCAACUCGCCUGCAUGAAGCUGGAAUCGCUAGUAAUCGCAAAUCAGCCAUGUUGCGGUGAAUACGUUCCCGGGUCUUGUACUCACCGCCCGUCACACCAUGGGAGUUGUGUUUGCCUUAAGUCAGGAUGCUAAAUUGGCUACUGCCCACGGCACACACAGCGACUGGGGUGAAGUCGUAACAAGGUAACCGUAGGUGAACCUGCGGUUGGAUCACCUCCUUUCUAGA